AUUGUUUUUGGUUUCUUUUAUUUUUAUACAAUCUAUAUAAUUUUUUUUUUAUCAUCAAACACAUGAGAACCUUCAAUUUCACUCAAGAACAAUCAGAUUAUAAAUAUUAAUUUCAAUAUUGUAUAUAAGAUUUGUACACUACUUAGUACAAUAACACGGAGCAUGAGGCAAUAGUGUGUGUGUGUGUGUAAGAACAUUCAAUCAAGAGUGUGACACAAAGCCCAACUGGAAAAAAAUGAAUGCUGAGCUCAGGUUGGGUAGAUAAUGGAAGACAGUUUCAAGAUUAACUAGCUAGCCUAAUGAUUAAAAGUGCCUACACACAGUAUCAAGGAUGCACUGAAUAACCAUGGUAACACCCUUAGAGCAUAAGAAACUGAAAUGAAUAUUACAGCGCAAGGAAAGUAGUUGCGGUGUGGUCAAGCAUUCAGCCACUUGAAUGUCUAGGUUCACAUUCUGAACUAAAAAUAAAGACGUGAUGUCACGGACACACACCACUCGGUCAGUUAAAUUUCUAGCUUCAAAUUUUUAACAAGUUUUAAGCCUUGAUGUUACUGAGACAUACCACUCUGCCUGCUAACUAAUCUACUUACCAGUUAGAGAAUGUGACAGUCAUUGUACUAGCCUUACCAAACAUUCAUAAAUAUUUACAGCUCACCACCAAUGUCUAACAGCUACUUAAGUUUGGAUUGCAACAAAGUAUUUAAAAAAAAAAAAUUAAAAAAAA
Non-coding RNA from Biomphalaria pfeifferi, 724 nucleotides. The record is from the annotation of a GenBank genome assembly. Lineage: Eukaryota; Metazoa; Mollusca; Gastropoda; Planorbidae.